Molecule: transfer RNA, 71 nt
Filed under: Karusasaurus jordani
Lineage: Eukaryota; Metazoa; Chordata; Lepidosauria; Squamata; Cordylidae
Description: tRNA-Val
Source: RNAcentral
CAAAGAGUAGCUUAAACCUAAAGCACUUAACUUACAAUUAAGACAUGUCCACUCACUAUGGACCCCUUUGC